UUUUACACCACAUUGAACCAGUUUGACAUUGCGAGCGUUUGUUUUUGUUGUUUUUGUUGUCAGAGAGAAGUGCCUACAGGAGAACGCGCAAAAAAAGAAAAAGAGACCGAGGACACGGUGAAGAAGGGAUUCCUGGGACCACUCCAGCUGCUCGGUAAAUAGCUUCAGCCAAGGCGCCCCCGCUGGUCGGCGGUCGAUUCAGAAGACGUUUCUGUGGAUGAGGCCAACAACAUGCAGGACAUUUGAACUUCUUCAAGGUGAACGACCAACAUCAGAAGAACGAUUCCACGCAUGUUUCGAUGAGCAAAGACCGCCUCCGCGACGUUACCAAUCGCCAUCCUGAUCUUCAUCGACCUUAUCGGUUGAAACUUGUCCUGUUUCCGUGGGACAGUCCGCGGGACUUCUGAACCUUAUGACGGCUGGGAAGCCUCACGGCCGAGCUGCGAGAAAACGCGCCACAACAGAUCGUUCAACCAGUGCUGGCCCCUCUGCCAGCUGACGACCCGGACAGUUCCAGCGGAAAUGAACUUAGCUAUCUUGAGACUCUAGUGGCGGUCACAGUCGAAAUGGAACGUGAGAUGUUGAGAUUAAAAAAGUAAAAAUAAAAAUAGUUGAAAAAUGAAACUCGAAUAAAAUUGAACUCUAAGCGAGACUCAAAGGU
Molecule: long non-coding RNA, 661 nt
Organism: Culex quinquefasciatus (southern house mosquito)
Lineage: Eukaryota; Metazoa; Arthropoda; Insecta; Diptera; Culicidae
Exons: 2
Source: RefSeq, a predicted model, not a curated record